Molecule: transfer RNA, 73 nt
Filed under: Tidjanibacter sp.
Lineage: Bacteria; Pseudomonadati; Bacteroidota; Bacteroidia; Bacteroidales; Rikenellaceae
Description: tRNA-Gly
Rfam family: tRNA
About the family: Transfer RNA (tRNA) molecules are approximately 80 nucleotides in length.
Source: RNAcentral
GCGGAAAUAGCUCAGUUGGUAGAGCACUAGCUUCCCAAGCUGGGGGUCGCGGGUUCGAGCCCCGUUUUCCGCU